UUUUCGACUUACGUCAGUUCGUUAAUUGAUACAGACAUCUAGGAUAUUUUGAAGAAAUUGUGUGUGAUAUAACACUGUUGUGUGAGGGUUUUAAAGUGACAUGGUCAAGACAUACUAUGAUAGUAUUGUUCAGUAUGACUUCUGACAUGUUACUGUUUGAUAACAGUGAAGUUACAGUUGGUUCAGACAAGUUGUAUACAUGUAUACAGGACAAGACAGCUCAAACCGGCAGUUUGUUAUAGCAAAAAGUGAUGAAGUUUCAGCCUAGAAGUCUUCAUGAUGAUGAUGCUGAUGAUCCUAGUUAUAGAUUCUUUGAAAUUAUCUGUAAGAAAGGGGUUUCUGCUGCAGAGAAGAAAAAAAUUCAUACAGUAAGAAGCUGCCCACUCUGUUCAAAUAAAGCUGUCUGAAGUACCCAGUAGACAAUGUAUUAUUUCUGGAACAACUUAAUUGAAGUGAAGCUUACUAUGUGAAGGAGUUAUUUCUGUAUUCAAAAGGAAACUUCAGCAUACAGAAUACCAAUUGAGAUAUUAAUAGCUUCAGUUAUGGGAGAACAUAAGAUUAAUUAAACUGGAAUCCCUUUAGACGUUGACAUAGAUAAAUUCCACAGUUUCAACUAUAAAUGGACUUGAAUUAUUAUACAUUGGUUUUAUUUUAUAUAUGUAUUUGUCAAUAUUUUUAUUUUCCAAUAUUUCCCAAUAUUGUUAAUUUUGGAUAAUAUAAUGCCACAGAAAACUUGUCGGUCUUGGAGUAUGGCUGUUUAAAAAAAACACUGCAGAUUGUUCCUCAGAACAAUGAAAUUACAGUUUUGCUUGUUAAUGAACUAAUUUACAUAAAUAUAUAAUUUUUGUAAGCAUGAAAAAUUUGGAACAUAUCAUAUAAUGGAUAUUUUUUUCUUUUGCAUCUAAGAUCCAAAUGUAUUUCAUAGAGUGAACAGCAGAUUAAAUAUUUUCACGAAUGGCAUUGAAAAACAUAUAUUAUGUAUUAUGUUGGUAAAUGGAGGCUGCUAUUUAACUGUGACUGAAAGUAGUUCAGAUAUGACGCCUUAUUAUGUCCGAGAUUUAUAGCCCAUCAUACAAGCCAAAGAGAGCAGAUUUUUUUCUGUGUAGAAUCAUUAAUUUUCAAUGUUCAUCUUUGAAAGUGAUUCUGUCAUAUUGCCUGAAUUUGUUUAAAUUCCUUCCUGAUUUGCAAAUAUUAAUUAU
Molecule: long non-coding RNA, 1199 nt
Organism: Ruditapes philippinarum (Manila clam)
Lineage: Eukaryota; Metazoa; Mollusca; Bivalvia; Venerida; Veneridae
Exons: 5
Source: RefSeq, a predicted model, not a curated record